Molecule: long non-coding RNA, 314 nt
Filed under: Manihot esculenta (cassava)
Lineage: Eukaryota; Viridiplantae; Streptophyta; Magnoliopsida; Malpighiales; Euphorbiaceae
Description: long non-coding RNA (MESC_LNC012954)
Source: RNAcentral
AAGAAGAGAAACAAAUCGGAGAUGGGUCUGAUUAAGGCCCAUGAGUGAAUAUAAGAACACGAUCCCAAGAAAACCAGAAUAGCAAUAAAUUCAUAGCAUUUUUGGAGGAGCUUGGAACCAGACAACUUGUAUCUCCCUUUGACGAAAGAAGUAUAGCCGGGACUCAUGAGGAACUAACCCAAAAGAAUAGUCAAUCAAAAUAAUUACACAAAACAAUAAUUUGUUUACUCAAUAUCAACAAAAUAAUAUCAUUAUUCGGACAACAACGGAUGUGCCAAAAUACGCAGAAAACAAAAAUUUUUUAGGGAGAAAAU